RNAcentral lists this ribosomal RNA (406 nucleotides) under uncultured bacterium. RNAcentral describes it as "partial 16S ribosomal RNA". It matches the Rfam family "Bacterial small subunit ribosomal RNA", at positions 30 to 526 of the family's 1533-position model. The record is from RNAcentral.
AUUGAACGCUGGCGGCAUGCCUAACACAUGCAAGUCGAACGAGUGGCGGACGGGUGAGUAAUGUCUGGGAAACUCCCUGAUGGAGGGGUAUAACUUCUGGAAACGGUAGCUAAUACCGUAUACCUUCCGAUGUGCCCAGAUGGGAUUAGCUUGUUGGUGGGGUAACGGCUCACCAAGGCGACGAUCACUAGCUGGUCUGAGAGGAUGACAAGCCACACUGGGACUGAGACACGGUCCAGACUCCUACGGGAGGCAGCAGUGGGGAAUAUUGCACAAUGGGCGCAAGCCUGAUGCAGCCAUGCCGCGUGUAUGAAGAAGGUCUUCGGGUUGUAAAGUACUUUCAGCGGGGAGGCGUUACCCGAAGAAGAAGCACCGGCUAACUCCGUGCCAGCAGCCGCGGUAAUUC